RNAcentral lists this ribosomal RNA (57 nucleotides) under Gardnerella vaginalis. RNAcentral describes it as "partial 23S ribosomal RNA". Lineage: Bacteria; Bacillati; Actinomycetota; Actinomycetes; Bifidobacteriales; Bifidobacteriaceae. The record is from RNAcentral.
UUACUGGUAAGGGCGUAUGGUGGAUGCCUUGGUAGACAGGACCGAUGAAGGACGUGA